Molecule: unclassified non-coding RNA, 627 nt
Filed under: Hevea brasiliensis (rubber tree)
Lineage: Eukaryota; Viridiplantae; Streptophyta; Magnoliopsida; Malpighiales; Euphorbiaceae
Source: RNAcentral
AGGAGCCGUCGCCAUGGGGAGGAGUAAGCUUACCUCUAUUUAAUUUCUUACUAACUCUGUAUCUCUAGUGCAUGUUUUUAUGCGAUCUUAGCGUUCAAUUUGGAAUUAUUGCUUGGAUUCUCCAUUCAUUUUCUUUUCUUGUAUUGUUUUGAUUUAUUUAAGCUUGUAUUUGUUUUAGAAUUGAUUGCAAAUGAUCUUCUUUCAUACAGAUAUUGGUGGCGUAAUCUGUUGCAAAUUUUUUAUGAUGAGAAUAUUAGAGAUUAUCCCUGUUAAUGCAAUGAUUAUAUCCUUUAGGUACCUGUUAAUGUGAGCCUGCUCCCUAGAUCUUGACUUGUAUUUGAUUUUUAUUUGUGUUUUUUCAUAUCGAGAAUCUCUGGGGAUAAGCAGAUUUUUCUUUUUUCGUUUAAUGGUUCAAGGGAUAGAUUUAGCCAUUCAAUUGAUACUAAUAUGGCCAGUUGUGUAGAGAGAGAUUGAAUAUCAAAGAAGAAUUAGUUGUGUUGUAAAAUUAUUGAUGUUGCAGCUGGCACAAUUUGGUUAAAAAGUGCUAUGAAUUUUGAUUCGUCAGAUGCUUUAGUAAAUAUUCAUAGAUGUUUUGUGAACAAAUGAGCUCUUUUAACUGCUAUAUAU